GACGAACGCUGGCGGCGUGCUUAACACAUGCAAGUCGAACGGAAAGGCCCUGCUUUUGUGGGGUGCUCGAGUGGCGAACGGGUGAGUAACACGUGAGUAACCUGCCCUUGACUUUGGGAUAACUUCAGGAAACUGGGGCUAAUACCGGAUAGGAGCUCCUGCUGCAUGGUGGGGGUUGGAAAGUUUCGGCGGUUGGGGAUGGACUCGCGGCUUAUCAGCUUGUUGGUGGGGUAGUGGCUUACCAAGGCUUUGACGGGUAGCCGGCCUGAGAGGGUGACCGGCCACAUUGGGACUGAGAUACGGCCCAGACUCCUACGGGAGGCAGCAGUGGGGAAUAUUGCACAAUGGGCGGAAGCCUGAUGCAGCAACGCCGCGUGCGGGAUGACGGCCUUCGGGUUGUAAACCGCUUUCGCCUGUGACGAAGCGUGAGUGACGGUAAUGGGUAAAGAAGCACCGGCUAACUACGUGCCAGCAGCCGCGGUGAUACGUAGGGUGCGAGCGUUGUCCGGAUUUAUUGGGCGUAAAGGGCUCGUAGGUGGUUGAUCGCGUCGGAAGUGUAAUCUUGGGGCUUAACCCUGAGCGUGCUUUCGAUACGGGUUGACUUGAGGAAGGUAGGGGAGAAUGGAAUUCCUGGUGGAGCGGUGGAAUGCGCAGAUAUCAGGAGGAACACCAGUGGCGAAGGCGGUUCUCUGGGCCUUUCCUGACGCUGAGGAGCGAAAGCGUGGGGAGCGAACAGGCUUAGAUACCCUGGUAGUCCACGCUGUAAACGGUGGGUACUAGGUGUGGGGUCCAUUCCACGGGUUCCGUGCCGUAGCUAACGCUUUAAGUACCCCGCCUGGGGAGUACGGCCGCAAGGCUAAAACUCAAAGGAAUUGACGGGGCCCCGCACAAGCGGCGGAGCAUGCGGAUUAAUUCGAUGCAACGCGUAGAACCUUACCUGGGUUUGACAUGGAUCGGGAGUGCUCAGAGAUGGGUGUGCCUCUUUUGGGGUCGGUUCACAGGUGGUGCAUGGCUGUCGUCAGCUCGUGUCGUGAGAUGUUGGGUUAAGUCCCGCAACGAGCGCAACCCUUGUUCACUGUUGCCAGCACGUUAUGGUGGGGACUCAGUGGAGACCGCCGGGGUCAACUCGGAGGAAGGUGGGGAUGACGUCAAGUCAUCAUGCCCCUUAUGUCCAGGGCUUCACGCAUGCUACAAUGGCUGGUACAGAGAGUGGCGAGCCUGUGAGGGUGAGCGAAUCUCGGAAAGCCGGUCUCAGUUCGGAUUGGGGUUCUGCAACUCGACCUCAUGAAGUCGGAGUCGCUAGUAAUCGCAGAUCAGCAACGCUGCGGUGAAUACGUUCCCGGGGCU
This 1347-nucleotide ribosomal RNA is filed under the name uncultured bacterium. RNAcentral describes it as "partial 16S ribosomal RNA". It matches the Rfam family "Bacterial small subunit ribosomal RNA", at positions 28 to 1381 of the family's 1533-position model. The record is from RNAcentral.